Molecule: long non-coding RNA, 407 nt
Filed under: Mytilus galloprovincialis (Mediterranean mussel)
Lineage: Eukaryota; Metazoa; Mollusca; Bivalvia; Mytilida; Mytilidae
Source: RNAcentral
AUAUUUAGAUUCAGAAUCUCUCUCAAUUUAAUGUUGAAUGUUAUUUGGGACAAAUAUUUUGUAUUGAUAAGAAAAUACUGUAUCUUUUAUCCUUAAUGUUUUCAAGAAUGACUUCUAUAAAUUAUGAAAUAGUGUCAAUUUUUCAGGCAACGCUUGAAUUUUCUGUUAUGUAACUACACAAGCAGGUGUGACAACUGGUGUUAACACUUUAAGAUUAAUAUUUUUAGGGACUGUUUUUUCCCUGUUGUUUCUGUUCCUCAGAAUGUUGUAAUAUAUUGUUAGUAGAUUAAUUUAUUUACAUUUAGAUUUUGAAAUUACAUAUGAAGGAUUGUUGAUUGUUGAUAUAUUACAGCAGUAUUUCAAAUCUGUUUAUGGUGCUUUAUUUUAUUAUAUUCUUUCAACUUUGC